RNAcentral lists this ribosomal RNA (784 nucleotides) under uncultured bacterium. Its description in RNAcentral is "bacterial SSU rRNA". It matches the Rfam family "Bacterial small subunit ribosomal RNA", at positions 8 to 775 of the family's 1533-position model. The record is from RNAcentral.
AGAGUUUGAUCCUGGCUCAGGAUGAACGCUAGCGGCAGGCUUAAUACAUGCAAGUUGAGGGGCAGCAUGAUAUACGCGAGUAUAUUGAUGGCGACCGGCGGACGGGUGAGUAAUAGGUAGGAGACCUACCUCAUACAGGGGGAUAGCAUAGAGAAAUCUGUGGUAAUACCCCAUGAGGUUAUAUGAAUAGAGGCAUAUAAUCAAAGCAUAAGUGAUUAUGCGGUAUGAGAGGGGCCUACUGACCAUUAGCUAGUUGGUGAGGUAAGGGCUCACCAAGGCGAAGAUGGUUAGGGGUUUUGAGAGAGAGACCCCCCACAUUGGAACUGAGAGACGGUCCAGACUCCUACGGGAGGCAGCAGUAGGGAAUAUUGGGCAAUGGGCGAAAGCCUGACCCAGCCAUGCCGCGUGAAGGAAGACGGCCUUAUGGGUUGUAAACUUCUUUACUACGCGAAUAGAGGUUAGUACGAGAUACUAAUAGGAAGGUAGUGUAGUAAGAAGCACCGGCUAACUCCGUGCCAGCAGCCGCGGUAAUACGGAGGGUGCAAGCGUUAUUCGGAAUUACUGGGUUUAAAGGGUGCGUAGGCGGUUAAAUAAGUUGUCAGUGAAAGGCUACGGCUCAACUGUAGUAGUGCUGGCGAUACUGUAUAACUAAGGACAUGGGAGGGGUACCUGGAAUGUGUGGUGUAGCGGUGAAAUGCGUAGAUAUCACACAGAACACCGGAGGCAAAGGCGGGUACUAGACCAUAGUUGACGCUGAGGCACGAAAGCGUGGGGGAUCAAACAG